AUUUAAAAUUCACAUUUGUACGAGUUAAGCAAAAUUAAAGGUUGGAAAAGCUUCAUAUGAUAUUCAGGAGUAAAAAGUGUUUAGAAUCUUACUGGUUUCGAGCUUUGUCUUGGUGGGUUAACACCUACACUUUUCUUUGCUAUUUUUGAACCUUGUGUAAGCUUUUUUGAUGGUUUUUCUUCGUUUUUCUUGUGGGUUCAAGCUUAGGUAGGUGCUUGGAGUGAUUUGGGUGAAGAAAAUUGAAGGUUGAAGGUGGUUUUAAUGGAUUUCGAAUUUGUUGGAAAAGUGAUGAAAAGAUGAGUUUUUUUGGUUUUUCUCUUCUCUGUUUUUCUCAAAAAUCCCCCCCCCAUGCUCUGAAAUGUUACCUCUACUUAUACUAGAAAAUUAGGGUUUCAGGUGAAUCAAAAGACAAAAUUGAGAGUUAGAAAGAUUGUGACAUGAGGUGUUGAUGCAAUGGUUCAGUUUUUGCAGUAACACCAGAAUGGCAAAGAAAAAAGGUCAAUGAAGAAAGAGGGCAAGACUUGAAUUUGGUUUAGACAUAAUUUGAAACUCAUAGCAGGAAGC
This 564-nucleotide long non-coding RNA is filed under the name Trifolium pratense (red clover). Its description in RNAcentral is "long non-coding RNA (TPRA_LNC013508)". The record is from RNAcentral. Lineage: Eukaryota; Viridiplantae; Streptophyta; Magnoliopsida; Fabales; Fabaceae.